GACGAACGCUGGCGGCGUGCCUAAUACAUGCAAGUCGAACGCUUCCUACCGGUGCUUGCACCGGGAAAGAAGAGUGGCGGACGGGUGAGUAACACGUGGGUAACCUACCUACAAGCGGGGGAUAACAUUCGGAAACGGACGCUAAUACCGCAUAGAUCUUUUUGUUUCCUGGCAGAAUGAAGAAAGACGGUUUCGGCUGUCACUUGUAGAUGGACCCGCGGCGCAUUAGUUAGUUGGUGAGGUAAUGGCUCACCAAGACGAUGAUGCGUAGCCGACCUGAGAGGGUGAUCGCACACGCUGAGCAUGAGACCCGGCCCAAACUCCUACGGGAGGCAGCAGUAGGGAAUCUUCCGCACUGGACGAAAGUCUGACGGAGCAACGCCGCGUGAGUGAAGAAGGUUUUCGGAUCGUAAAACUCUGUUGUUAGAGAAGAACAAGGAUGAGAGUAACUGCUCGUCCCUUGACGGUAUCUAACCAGAAAGCCAUGGCUAACUACGUGCCAGCCGCCGCCGUAA
RNAcentral lists this ribosomal RNA (515 nucleotides) under uncultured bacterium. RNAcentral's name for it is "partial 16S ribosomal RNA". It matches the Rfam family "Bacterial small subunit ribosomal RNA", at positions 28 to 523 of the family's 1533-position model. The record is from RNAcentral.